GAUUCUAGACACUUUCUUCCAACCAGGUGACAUGCAGCUAAAGCAAGAGAGAGGAUGAGCAGGAAGACCCCAUGUGCUGUAUUUCCAGUGCUGACAUUGGUGUCAGCUAUGAUAAACCCCAAAAACAGAGCUGGAGACGGAAUGCCAGAGCUUUCUCCAUGGUUGAUUUGAGAAUAUGUCAGCAGUAAUGAAGGGGAGCACCUUACAAAAUCUUUGGAUAGCAACUGAAAGGAUGAGGCCAGGAAAUAAG
This is a long non-coding RNA of Eptesicus fuscus (big brown bat), 250 nucleotides long. RefSeq lists it as uncharacterized. NCBI's taxonomy places the organism in Eukaryota, Metazoa, Chordata, Mammalia, Chiroptera, Vespertilionidae. The record is from RefSeq and is a predicted model, not a curated record. The transcript is spliced from 3 exons.